AAAACUCAUUAGCUCUUCAUCCACAGGGAGCCCUUUGCUUCCGUCUCAUCCGAACUGCCUUACAAGCACCACUGUCAAAGGCAUCUCAAAAGAGGAGAUCAAUUUUAUAGUGGUUUUACUCUUUGAAAGCAUGAACAGGCUCUCCAUUAGGAGCUAUAAUUUAUCUGUCUGUGACCACUGACUGCAGGUCUAUGAAAUGCAUCUAAAUGGAUUGCACGGAGCCAGAAACUCAACCCAGUUUACAGGAAACACCUUCACCAGUGACUUGAUAUCAGAAACUCUAACUGGCCCACAAUUUUCAGGAGAACGAACUGCCCAGAAAGCAACAACAGUCGCAGAUGGGGAAUUUUUGCUUUUCCACUGCUGGCGUCUUUGAGAAACAUGAAAAAAAAUGAAGAAGCAUUUUCAGAUAUAAAGGAAAAAAAACAGACUCCAACUGCUAAGAAGGGUGAAACACCACAACCUCAGCAGCUCGAGCGGUCAGCAGCAUCCCCCACGCACUCCUCGGGGCCAAGCCAGCUCCCUGCCUUGCGAGGCUGGUGAAGCCACUCGGAUUUUUUUUUUAUUCACUUGCUUAAAUGUUGUAGGCUUGAAAGUUUGACUUGAAAUAUAACAUCAGUGGGUUUGUGGUAAAAGCAGCAGAGAGGAUAGGAUGACAGGCGGGGCAGAGGGGACUGAUUGAAAGCAGGUGUGGAGGAGGAAGAUGGGAGGAGGAGAAAGAGGAAAACAUGACUGAGUAAGUAAAUUCAAUGUUAUACAUAUUGAAAAAGAGCACCCAUAUAUAGAGCACCCACCUGUGCUCACUUCUUUUGAACAUUGUUUUUUUAACAUAAAACAGGAGAUAGGCUUUAAAAUCGAGCAACCAAAACAAGGCACAGUGUGGCAUGCACUGCUCCCACAGAGGUGGCCAUGGCAGGAGUGGAGGGCAGGUGUUCUCCACAGUGUUUUAACUCCCCACUGGAAUGUUCUGGGAUCUUAAGGGAUGAAGAGCCCAUAGAGACUUGAAGGUGGGCUUGGUUUCUGGCAACAGGGGGCAUCUUGUAUUUAUGUCUGUAGAUACACAUGCAGAGAGAAUAAAAUAUAAUGGAGAUCAAUCA
This 1097-nucleotide long non-coding RNA is filed under the name Cyanistes caeruleus (blue tit). Its description in RNAcentral is "lncRNA (ENSCCEG00000008397.1)". The record is from RNAcentral. Lineage: Eukaryota; Metazoa; Chordata; Aves; Passeriformes; Paridae.